Alnus glutinosa is the source of this 1069-nucleotide long non-coding RNA. RefSeq lists it as uncharacterized. The record is from RefSeq and is a predicted model, not a curated record. The transcript has 2 exons. Lineage: Eukaryota; Viridiplantae; Streptophyta; Magnoliopsida; Fagales; Betulaceae.
CAAAAUUUUCUCUCUUCUUGACAAGUUUUAAACAUGCACCAAAACCCCUGUAGAAUUAAGCCACGCACGCCACUUUCCCCUUCAUCUUUUAUUUUCUUGCCUUUUCCCCUUUCUCUUCGAUUCUCACUUCUCCUCUGCACAGCCUUACACACACGAGAAUUUGAGAGAGAAAGGAAGAGAAGAGGCCGAGAGAGAGAGAGAGAGAGAGAGAGAGAGAGAGAGAGAGAGAGAGAGAGAGAGAGACUGGGAGACCGAGAGAGGGAGAUCGGAGAGGUUUGAUUUUUGGAGUGGGUCAUCAGUGGGUCGGAGCUGGCGAUGCCGGUGGAGCCAAUGAGCAUUUUCCGACGUUUUUCUCGGUACCCAAACGGAAAAAGGCAAAGAAAUUUAAGAGUCUGCUCAGAAAAUCCAGGUAAGGGAACACAACCUUAAAAACCUCGGCAAAUUUUUAAAUAAAAUCUUUUCAAAAGAAAAAUGUCGAGAAUUUUCGAAAGACUCAUUCACUUUAAUAUUAUUUGUUCUAUUAUCUCAACUAUGAAAAAUAAUGAAUAUGUUACCUGUGAAUCACAUGGAUGAAUGAAGCUGAUGAUUAUAUGUUAUGUGUGCACCAUAUGAAUGAAGAGCAUGAUGUAAUUAUGAUUUUCAAAUAUGUAUAUGAUAUAUGUGCACCAUGAGAAUGAGGAUGAUGAUGACUCUCAAAAUAUAUGAGUUACAUGUGCACUAUAUGAACAAGAUGAUGGAAUUAUGUUGAAUAUUUGUUUUAUGUGCAUCACGCAAAGUUUUGUCCCACGGUACCAUAAUGUUGUGAUCCGGAUCUUAUGAUGAUGAUGACGAUGGGUAGCGGGGCAACCACACCAAAAGUGUGGGGCUAUCGGCCGGGGGGUUCUCACCUAGGGACCUUCUUAACUCGACAGCUCUCCCCUGUGACGACUGGAUGAGUCUAUGGGUCCUUCGGGAUUGGUCUUAUGGACGAGCCAAACAUGCAUCGCUCAUGGUAAAAAUGCGGAAGUGGGCCAGUGGUAGACAAAACUUACACAUUAUGAAUGAUGAUUACAUAUGCACAUUUCUUAUU